This 71-nucleotide transfer RNA is filed under the name Loxodonta africana (African savanna elephant). It matches the Rfam family "tRNA". Rfam says of the family: Transfer RNA (tRNA) molecules are approximately 80 nucleotides in length. Lineage: Eukaryota; Metazoa; Chordata; Mammalia; Proboscidea; Elephantidae. The record is from Rfam by way of RNAcentral.
GAAUUGGUGGUUCAGUGUUAGAAUUCUUGCCUUCCAUACAGGAGACGUGGGUUCGAUUUCAAGCCAAUGCA